This 371-nucleotide ribosomal RNA is filed under the name uncultured bacterium. RNAcentral's name for it is "bacterial SSU rRNA". It matches the Rfam family "Bacterial small subunit ribosomal RNA", at positions 28 to 404 of the family's 1533-position model. The record is from RNAcentral.
GACGAACGCUGGCGGCGUGCUCAACACAUGCAAGUCGAACGGUGAACCAACUUCGGUGGGGAUCAGUGGCGAACGGGUGAGUAACACGUGGGCAACCUGCCCCUAGCUCUGGGAUAACCUCGGGAAACCGAGGCUAAUACCGGAUAUCACUUCGAGCGGCAUCACUCGGAGUUGAAAGGAUUCUGGCUAGGGAUGGGCCCGCGGCCUAUCAGCUUGUUGGUGGGGUAAUGGCCUACCAAGGCGACGACGGUAGCCGGCCUGAGAGGGCGACCGGCCACACUGGGACUGAGACACGGCCCAGACUCCUACGGGAGGCAGCAGUGGGGAAUAUUGCGCAAUGGGCGAAAGCCUGACGCAGCGACGCCGCGUGA